CUAUUGACUUAGACACUCUUUUUCUCUUUUCUCACUGCUCAUCUCUCUUCACUUCUUUUCUCUCACAAUUUUCUUCAGUGCUCUCUUCUCCUCUCUCUUCCUCAGACUUGUGCUGAGUCACAUGACUGAAAGAUGCCACAGAUAACACAGACUUUUCUUCACUUUUCUUUUUAUUUUUCUUUUCAGAAUACUCACUUUUUCUCUUUUCUUUUGUCUAUCUCAUCUGUCUUUCUUCUAUUGUUAGAAGUGCAGACAGUUCUCAGAUCAAUUAAAAGAGUUAUCUCUCUUCACUCACUAUAAAGUCUUUCAGACACAGCAGCAGUAGUCCUCUCAGAAAUCACACUAUAGCUUCAUCAUGAAUAGUCAUACAUC
Molecule: small RNA, 372 nt
Filed under: Histoplasma ohiense
Lineage: Eukaryota; Fungi; Ascomycota; Eurotiomycetes; Onygenales; Ajellomycetaceae
Description: hypothetical lncRNA
Source: RNAcentral